AAUCAAGUGCCUUAAGGGUGUUCGGUGGAUGCCUUGGCGCUGAGAGGCGAUGAAGGACGUGCUACGCUGCGAUAAGCCGUGGGGAGCUGCGAAGAAGCUUUGAUCCGCGGAUUUCCGAAUGGGGAAACCCACCUUCGAUAGCCGGAACUCCAAGACCUUUGUCGAAAGACAUCGGUGUGGGGUUCGACCAGAUACCUGGAAGAAGCCAGGCCUUUAGAUUUCGAUCGAAGAGGUUUUGGAUUUCCGGUUAUCAAGAGAAGGUAUGAGACUUCUGAAU
RNAcentral lists this ribosomal RNA (277 nucleotides) under Bradyrhizobium sp. RNAcentral describes it as "partial 23S ribosomal RNA". It matches the Rfam family "Bacterial large subunit ribosomal RNA", at positions 1 to 207 of the family's 2925-position model. The record is from RNAcentral. Lineage: Bacteria; Pseudomonadati; Pseudomonadota; Alphaproteobacteria; Hyphomicrobiales; Nitrobacteraceae.